This 31-nucleotide non-coding RNA is filed under the name Rattus norvegicus (Norway rat). The record is from RNAcentral. Lineage: Eukaryota; Metazoa; Chordata; Mammalia; Rodentia; Muridae.
UGAACUUGACUACUCUGACACAUCCCCUCUC